GGCCCUGGCCCUUUCCAGAGGACAAUAGCCUUCAUGCAAGGGAAAAUUCCAUCGCCCAGGGUUCAAGUCUCCAAGGAGUUGCUGGGGCCUCUAUUUAGCCUGGAGUGGGCUCUGAGGAGCCGCUGCAGCUGCCCGGCUUGUUUUCCCCCUCGCUGUGUUUUAUUUUUAACCCCUGAGCUGCCAAGGAUUGUUUUUCCCCAACCAGUGCCUGGGAACUAAGGGAGGGAAGAAAUAAGGCUUUGUUCCCUUUGGGGAACUAAUUGGGAAAGACAGGCAGUGUGGCCAGCUUGGCUCUAUUAGGGUGUGGGGCUCCCACCCCUCACUGCACAACAUCUUCACCCCAAUCCAUACCCAGGAGGCUGGGAGUGCAGAAGUGCCCCCCAGGAUGCAACCAGAGGCCCGGGGGCUGGUGGGAACGCAAGUGCAGCUUCAAGACUGCAAAGGCAGCUCAGAGCCACUUUCUUGGGCUCCGAAGAUAUUCAGGAAAUAAGAUGUUGGGAGCUGGAAAUGUCUAUUUUUCCCAUUUCAACCCCCCCCAAACUAACCCCUGCUUUUCUCCUGCUGGUGGUGGUGGUUGUUGUUUUCCAGACCUGCAUAAUGAACUCUAGAAGAAAAGUGAGGGAACUCAAAAAAGUAAGAAACCAGAAAAUAAAGACAUUAUACUUUUAAACACUAGGCUAAUCAAUGGGAAACACCCAGCAACCCCACUUAUAAGUUUACUCCGUAAAAAAUAUUCCUUAUACUCAGAAAUUUAAUUUCAUUGCAAAUCAGCUAGGAAUUAAUGAAAAAUUUCUUCCACGGCCAUUUUAUUUUAAGAUCAAAUGGAUUCCAGAUAGGGACCCAUUAAGAAUCUAAGGACCAUUUUGAUCCCGUCUAGGAACAGAGCAAAUUUCUAAGGAAUCACCCACUUGCAGCAAGCCAGCACAUUCAAGUUAGGGCUGUGGCAUAUGACACCCAGUGCGUUCAAGUAAAGACUGCUCGUCUAUUUACCAAGAAUAUUUGAGAAAAGAAAAUGCCCCUGCCUGGUGGACAAUAGCACAAAGCAUUUCUCUGUACCUGGGCACAUUUGUUCCACUCGAUAAAAGAGGACCCCUGACCCAGGUACACAGGCAGUUGGAGAAGAGGACAACGAUGAACUGAUACAAAGGUAAGAGGUUCCCGGUAGCAUUGGAAGAACACAGAUUGGUGCAUAAUGCAUGGCAUGUGCAAUAAAAGUAAGUUGCAUUAAAACUUCAGCCUUGUUAAUGACUACAAAAAAAAUUGUUAGAAAGAAUGAAUAAGAUCUUGGCCAGGCACAGUGGCUCACGCCUGUAAUCCCAGCAUUUUGGGGGGCCGAGGCAGGCGGAUCACCUGAGGUCAGGAGUUUGAGACCAGCCUGGCCAACAUGGUGAAACCCCAUCUCUACUAAAUAUACAAAAAAAUUAGCCAGGCAUGAUGGUGCACGCCUGUAAUUCCAGCUACUUGGGAGGCUGAGGCAGGAGAAUCUCCUGAACCCGGGAGGCGGAGGUUGCAGUGAGCCAAGAUCAAACCACUGCACUCCAGCCUGGGAGACAAGAGCGAAAAGAAUGAAUAAGAUCUGAUAUUUGAUAGCACAACAAGGUGACUAUAGUCAAUAAUGAUUGAAUUGUACAUUUAAAAAUAACGAAAAGAGUAUAAUUGGAUUGUCUGUAACACAAAGGAUAAAAGCUUUAAGUGAUGGAUACCCCAUUUACCCUGAUGCAAUUACUACACAUUGUAUGCGUGUAUCAAAAUAUCUCUCAUGCCCCAUAAAUACACACACCUACUAUGUCCCGACAAAAAUUUAAAAUUUUUUUUAAUUUUUAAAAAUUUGUUGAAAAACCAUCAGCCCUGUUAAGUUGCUCACACGUGCUGUUGCAGCCCCAGCUCACCCGGUAGUAAAUCCUGCUGACACAGGGUCCCCCACAGCUAUGGGUCUAUCCUUCCUCUGGUGUGGCAAGACUACAUUUUCAGGAAGCUGCUGGGCAGAAUGAAGCAACUCAAAGCUCAGGAGAAGUGUCUACGUGCCUUUUAGGGUUGGGGUUUAACCCAGCACUCAGGGAUUUCCCAGCAUGCAGACAAAGGCACUGACAGUUACAGCAGAAGCUGGAAGGGUGAGUCAAGCCAGGACUCAGCACGCUUGAACCCAUCCACAGCUCCCACUCACAUCAUCCCACACUCCCUUUUCACAUUUACUCCAAGCAUCUGGAGCCCCAAGCUCCUGUGCCUCAACCCAUGCCCUCAGUAACAGUAUCCAUUGCCAAGCCAGAAUUGACUCCGGGCCCACCUUGCCACUCACUCAGAGUCUGUGAGGAGUGGGCACCGCACGCAGCCGUGAAACAGGCCAACUCACAGGUGGGCUCCCCACUGCACGUCUUGUCCGAAAAGACACCCCUCAGCCCCAUCAGUGUUGACUUUGCAUUGCGCCAUUAGAUUAUUUCUUUCAGCUCUUCUUAAGACAAAUGGCUGGCUGUUGGGAGGCUGGCCAGGGUUAAGGUGGAGCCUCAAUGUGGCCAUUUUCACAGCCCCGGCAAAGCCUGUGGUUGAUGCCAAACCCCCAUUGAACUGAAUAGAAUGGAGGAAAGCUAACCAACCCACCAGAAUAAUAAUCACUAAUGCUAUGGAGUGAUCACACAGCAAGACUGUUCUAAGUGUUUUAUGUGUAUUCAUUUAUUUUUACCUCAUCAUAAGUACUAUUAUUUUUCUAUUUUAUAGAUGAGAAAACUGAAACAAGGUCACAAACCAGAUGAUCUAAAGGGUAGCCACUACUGCCUCCUAAAGAACCCCAAUCAGGAAUCCCAGAUUAAUUUGCCCAGCAUCCUGUUUGGAAACCACAUGUCCACCCUGCAACUGUACCUGGCUUGUGUCCCACAAGGAGGAAGAUGCAGGGGACUCCGGAAGCUAAGGAGGAGAUUGUGAACUCAGGCACCAAAUCCAACAAGCUCCCCGAGGAACUUACAACAGUCUGUUUUACAGAGAAGUAAAUGUUGCUGAGAGAGAAAAUUGUCAGGCCUCGGUGUUCCAGAGCAAGAGGCAUUCCUUCAUUCCCAGAGAGGCCCUGGGCCUCAGCAAGCAAGCCCGACAAGCCCUCCGCAGCCAG
Homo sapiens (human) is the source of this 3097-nucleotide long non-coding RNA. NCBI's taxonomy places the organism in Eukaryota, Metazoa, Chordata, Mammalia, Primates, Hominidae. The record is from Ensembl.